Long non-coding RNA from Chloebia gouldiae (Gouldian finch), 1710 nucleotides. Lineage: Eukaryota; Metazoa; Chordata; Aves; Passeriformes; Passeridae. The record is from Ensembl.
CUGCUCUUGAAAAGCCUUGGACAGGCUUGGGGAAGAGUUCCUGGUGGCUGCUGUCAAGUGUGCUGGUCCUCACGCUUCCAGAGAGCAGGCAUACUCUGAAAUGAUGGGUUUUUUCCCAAAGUGCUUGUCUGUCUUUUAUGUUUGCCUCCUCAAGCAGAAGAACACUCUCUGCAUUAAUACACCACUGCAGCCUUUUCAGAAAUAUUGGCCUGGCCUUUGCCUGUCUAUCUGCAGAGCCCCUCAGCUGACUUGUGGAAAGGAUGAGCCCUGCUCCAUUUCUUUGAUGUCACAGUUGGAUGUUGGACCCUGCUAGCUGAGAAGAUCUUCUAGCCAAGCAAACAUUACCCAUGCUACAGGAUAAAAAAAAAAGGGAGAAAAAAUGUAGCAACUUACACUCCCACUCUAUGAGAUCUGUUUACAGCAAGCGUGGAAGAGCCAGGCUUCAUCUCCAGCUUGUUCCUGCACAUCCAGAUCGUGUUUGUGAGCCCAGAGCAGGUUGCAUUUGGCAUAAAUCAGAUGUCUAAAGCCAAGUAUGGGCACACUGAACCCCUAAACAGACAGAACCUACACUCUCUGACUUCAAGCCCAUGCCCCUCUGAAAAUAUUUCAGUUCUAUGUUCUAGUGCAUGAACUUGGAAGGAGAGAAAUCCUUCCCACAAGCUUGGUUAGCAAAUGAGAUACAUCCCAUAAAGCACUUCAUUUCGUGCAUGUAACAAAAAAUUAAUUAGCUGGUGUCAUUCUCUAUUAAUCUGCAUAUGACCAGUGAGUGAUUUCUACAGAGCCCAGUUGGAUAAUCCCACUGCCAAGGUGCACCCUGCACAACACCUGGUAAAUGAGUCACCAGAAACUGUUGUGGAGGACACUGAUAGCAUAGAAACCAAAUUAAGUAUUUAGGUGCCUGCUACUGGAGGAGUCUCACCAUGCUGAGCCAGGCUGCUCUGUGGCACUGCUUCCAGAGGAACAGACUGGAUCCACACAGCCCCUGUCUUGCCUCUGUCCUGACAAAGGAGAAGCACUGCAGCGAUCACUUGUGCCCUGAGGUUGAUCACAUCUGACUUUCUGCAAUCACACUCAAUGGAUAGAGAUUAUGAGAGUGAAUUCUGGUGCUCUUUGUGUCUCUCCAGUGCUGGGAUGUUGAUGAGCAGAGACAGUUGCACGACUGCUGUCCUUUUCCAUGGUGGAUAUUGGAGAUGGAAGUGUAGAGACAUGGUGGUACGUGCUGCUUUUUGCAGCCCUGUGCUAGGAGGCUUUUGCCCCUGAAGAUCCUCACUGGAUCAGCAGAAAUAAGAAUUGUGUUGGAAGAUGCCUGGACCAGCAGAGUAUUUAUGUGGAUCCAUAGACAUAUAUAUCAGUAUAUUUAUCUGUAUUUCUCCAAGUAGAUGUAAAGAUUGGUGAUUUGCUUUGGGGAGGGAGGGUCAGAGUGCACACCUUACCUCACUGCUCGAGGAACCAGGUCAUACCGUGUUUACUCCAUGAAACAAUCUCUCUUCAGAUCUGUGUCAUACUCUAAAUGCCACCAGAGCCAAACUGCCCCUGGUAACUCACAUCACCCUGGUUCUGCCCUCCCUGAUCUUUUCCCUGUGCAAUCCCUUCACUUACCUAAUGAUACAACACAAACCAUGAUCACACUCCUAACCCUACAACAUUUUUCUGGAAAUCAGUGGGAAAUCAUCACCAUUUAGAAAUGCAAUAAAAACAUAGCAGCCCACA